GACGAACGCUGGCGGCGUGCUUAACACAUGCAAGUCGAACGGACAGGCCCUGCUUUUGUUGGGUGCUCGUGUGGCGAACGGGUGUGUAACACGUGAGUAUCCUGUCCUUGACUUUGGGAUACUUCAGCAAACUGGCGCUACUACCGGCUAGGAGCUCCUGCUGCCUGGUGGUUGUUGGAUAGUUUCGGCGGUUGGGGAUGGACUCGCGGCUUAUCAGCUUGUUGGUGGGGUAGGGGCUUACCAAGGCUUUGACGGGUAGCCGGCCUGAGCGGUGGACCGGCCACAUGGGGACUGAGAGACGGACCAGACGCCUACGGGAGGCAGCAGUGGGGAAUAUGGCACAAUGGGCGGAAGCGUGAUGCAGCAACGCCGCGAGCGGGAAGACGGCCUUCGGGUGGUAAACCGCUUUCGCCGGUGACGAAGCGGGAGUGACGGUAAUGGGUAAAGAAGCACCGGCUAACUACGUG
RNAcentral lists this ribosomal RNA (467 nucleotides) under uncultured bacterium. Its description in RNAcentral is "partial 16S ribosomal RNA". It matches the Rfam family "Bacterial small subunit ribosomal RNA", at positions 28 to 507 of the family's 1533-position model. The record is from RNAcentral.